Amphiprion ocellaris (clown anemonefish) is the source of this 499-nucleotide long non-coding RNA. RefSeq lists it as uncharacterized. The record is from RefSeq and is a predicted model, not a curated record. The transcript has 2 exons. Lineage: Eukaryota; Metazoa; Chordata; Actinopteri; Pomacentridae.
GAAUUCGGUUCUUUGUACUUAAUUUAUUAGCAUGAUUUCUUUUUUAAUAUGUUGUGUACAGACUUAAUUACUUCUCUGUCUAAUUUUCUUACUCCAUGUAGGUUUCCCAGAGACUAUGGGUUGAGGAGGAAUUGGAAGUUUGUCGGCUUAGACCUGGUGUCAUUCCAUCAGUGUUAAACUUCCCGGCUCAUCUUUGAAGAGUACGUGCCAGAAAGACCACGACCAAGCAGCCUUGAGAUCUUAGACAGCGUCUCCCUAAGGUCCCUCUCUAUCUCCACACAUCCACCAACCACUGGAACACAUCUCCAAAGUUCUGCUGGACCAGCUCAGCUUCCCCUCAGAAGAAGUGCUGCCACCUGCCAGAUGAAGGAGCCUUUUGAGAGGCAGCUGGCAUCGUGAUUGGACUGUACUUUGGUCUGUUCCAAUCCAGCUUCAGCUCCAGAGACGGCAGGCGGGACGAGUCAACGGAGGCCGGGUGGACAAAGGCAUGCAGCUGAGU